AGAGUUUGAUCCUGGCUCAGAACGAACGCUGGCGGCGUGGCUAAGACAUGCAAGUCGAACGGACUAUCUAAUUGAGUAAUCGAGAGGAUAGUUAGUGGCGAAAGGGUGAGUAAUGGAUAGGUAAUGUACCCCGGGCUUCGGGAUAGCGUCGUUCACCUUCGGGUGAACUACCGAAAGGGACGGUAAUACCGAAUGACAUCACAGGUUGAUAGGCCUGUGAUCAAAGAUUUAUCGGCCUGGGAGCGGCCUAUCUCCUAUCAGCUUGUUGGUGAGGUAAGAGCUCACCAAGGCUAUGACGGGUAGCGGGACUGAGAGGUUGACCCGCCACAUCGGGACUGAGACACUGCCCGGACCUCCACGGAGGGCUGCAGUAACGAAUCUUGCGCAAUGGGCGAAAGCCUGACGCAGCAACGCCGCGUGUAGGAGGAAGUCUUUCGGGAUGUAAACUACUGUCAGGGGUAAGAAAGUGUGCUUCGGCGCA
RNAcentral lists this ribosomal RNA (481 nucleotides) under uncultured bacterium. Its description in RNAcentral is "bacterial SSU rRNA". It matches the Rfam family "Bacterial small subunit ribosomal RNA", at positions 8 to 467 of the family's 1533-position model. The record is from RNAcentral.